UCCUCAUUCUCAGUCCUUCCAGAACAUUCUGACCUUGGCUACCGCGGGUGCUAUUGGGAGCAGCAGCCUUCACUGUGGAGGGAAGCUCAGGCUGUGUCUCUGAGCUCCACAGCCGCACAAGCCCUGGGUCCUCUGCCAUGAGGUAUGGUGCUGCCAGCAGCAGGGGCCAGGCAGGGGCCGAGGAACGGGCACACCAGGCAGGCAGACAAGUGCAGGCCCUCCGGCUCCUCAGGAAUCUACAUGUGCUCAGAAGGCGGUGGGUAAGUUCUCCAUGGUACCAGGCUCUGAGCAAUGCCCCGUGCGACGGCAGAGCUUUUCUCAUGACUCCAGACCUGCGCCCUGCCACGGUCCCCUUCUCACGCUGGUGCAGGUCCUGAGGUCCCGCCCAGAGCACGCCGGGAGAGACUGGGAGUGGGGUGUUGGCCGAACCCCUUCUGGGAGGGCCACACGUUCCCGCAGUGCUUCUGGUCACUGUGGGCCCCCUCCCUCCUGGUGUGCUGGCUGGAAGGGCAGGGCUGUGACGCGGACAGAAGCGGGAGUCGCAGCCCAGACCCAUGGUCACUUCCAGAACAGAGGUGGGCCCGGCACGUGCUACAUGUCUUCUGCCCAAGUUUUUAUACUUUUUCCCCGGUCCUGUUUACUUUGGACUGCUGUUAAAUUCCAAGCAUAUCCUGAGCACAAGAGAGGUGGGAAUUCGGGCUCCAGCCAGGGGCCUGCGUCGGAGCCUCCUGCCCCAGCACCCCUGCUCCUUGUCUGGCACCUCCAGUGUGGCCCUGUCUGUGGUUCCCCCACCAGCCCAGCCUACUCUGAGGUCCCCCCAGAGUGCCAGCGUCCGGCUUCUCAGGUGCCGGCCUGAGCCCUGCGCUCCUCUGCUCUGCGCCUCUACUCUGGCCGCUGCCUGUGCAGGUGUAGCCUGCAGCGCCUGCUGUCCUCUCCUGGAAGCUCCGGGCCACACCCCCACAGGCGGGCCCUGAAGGCGGCUGGAGCCGGGCACAGCCUCAGAAGGUCCCUGAAGGCAGAGCCUCAGCUGUCCAUGGAAGUGGCCAACUCACUUUCAGCCUGGCAUGGCGGAGCACACCUGUGAUCCCCAUAUUCGGGAGGCUGAAGCAGGAAGAUUGCCAUGAAUCCAAGGCCAGCCUGGGCUACACAGCGAGACCGUGUGUCAAAGCAUCUUUGGGGGCAGGACCCCUUCCCUCUGGCCCCGUGACCCCUCUCCCUCCCUGGAAUGCUUCAGCACAGCAGAGCUUCCCACUUGGAGCCCUGCCUUGGGCUCAGGCAGCCCAGGAGCUCUUCCUACGUGGCUGCCUGAAGUAUGUGCCCUGACCACUCAGCACUUCCUGCACACUUUAUGCUGAAGACGGGAUAAAGUGCCAGUGGUGAGGAUGAAGGGAUGUGAGCGAGCCAGCGAGCAGUUGUUUGUGCAGCCAGGUGCCCAGCUCUUCCCAGGCCGGGCACAGCCAAGGGUGACUCACUGGUGUCAGAGCCCCGUGUUCUGGCCCCGGGCCCGGCCCUGAAGAUGGGCGAUCUGGAAAUCAGGACGUGGGGCUCAUGUCGGUCACAAGGGCACCUGUUCUGUAAGAGCUCAUCGAGGACACCUGCCAGGCUGGUGUCACCUGGACUGGUGCAUGUGUUGAGCCUCCCCCAGGUUUCAGGGCAAGCACUCAGAAAUUGCUGUUUCAAGGGUGAGGAAGAGUGGGCUGGGCUCACACUGGGCAUUGGACAGUAGGCCCUCGGGCUGGGCGGGAGCAGAUGGGAGAGGACGUCUGUACUAGAUCCAUACAGGGUUCUGCCAGGGGAAUGGGGUGACAGAAGGUGAAUUCUGGGAAGAGGGUGGGACGUGCACCUUUGGGAUGUCCCGGGGAGAGCCUGGCAUGGCCUCUUGGUUUCUGUCUCACCCUCUAUAGGCCCUGUCUCCGUGUCCUCGGUGUCUGGACCUGUAAACACCAUUCCCAGAAGGCUGCAGAAGUAGGAGGGCAGUGGGGCCUCCAGAGGGUCCCUGUCCCCCGACACCUCAUCUCCUCCCAGGGUCUGGCUUUUCUGUCCGGAUGCCCGGCUCCCUGAGGCUGUGUUUGGUCUCUGUUGGUCACCAGCUUGGAGGACUUGCCACACCAGAAGAUGCAUUCCAGGCCACAGGGCCCCAAGUGGUGGAGGAAUGGGGUCCCAGGGCUCUUGCUCCAGAAGUUCGGGGUCACCCAGACCAGCUUCCCAACCCUGCCCUUAAGCUGGCACCUGGGAAGCUGUGGGCAUGGCUCCCUGGGGGGGGGCACAGUAGGGAGGACACAAACAGGCACACAGUCACCUUGCUUGGAAAAAAAUCCCCUUGGCAUGGCUGUCGAUCAGUAUGGUGGAGAAGAGAGGUGUGGGUGCCCCACUAUGCGUGUGAGGUGCAGGCUGCUGCUGGGGAGGGCACCCCAGGGCCACGGAGUGUGGGGAGCUCCAGGGCACAGUGGGGAGCUGGCGCCCCCGGAACCCCUGCUGUGUGCACAGAUGUCAUGUGUGUCACACGCAGAGGUGUGUGCCUCGUGUGUAUGGGCGGCCUGUGCCUGCGAGUGUGGGCAGGUGUACGUGUGCGUGCAGGGGAGUGGGCGCGCAUGCGUGAGAGGAUGGGCCCUGGUCCUGUCAGCCUGGCUUGGGAGAGCAUCAGCCUGACCUGAGCCGCACCCUGGCCUUCCUUCUAGGAAGUCAGUCACCCCUCCUGAAAACCCCGACUUCCUGCUGGUCCCCACCAUCAUGUUUGCCUGGACACCCAGCCUGGUGCUGGCCCAGACCCUGGACUGUGGCUGGAGGUGGCUGCUCCAUCUUGGGGGACGUCGGGCAGCCUCCCGGCCCUGAGCACAGCGGCAUCGUACACAGCUAGUGCUGGCUGGCCAGCCAUGGUGUGCCCGGGGGCAGGAGUCUGAAGUCACAGCAAGAAGGUGGGCUGGGAGCGCGGCUAGAACAUAUGCCGAGGCUGGGCGGCCUCAGUGGUCAGACCCACCGGACGUGCAGAGGGCAUCCCUUUACAGGAAGCCGAUGGAUUGCCAGGUGCCUCCUGGCCUUGUGCACUCGUACAUGCAGCCCCCACCAUGGCCACAGCCGUUUGGGUCCCCUUCCGUUCCUCCUGUCUUACCAAACCCUCCCCUUCCCACACCAUCAUCUUCUACCCAGCAUCCACCUGGAUCCUUGGAAAGUUCAGAUCAGUCUACACCACAUUUCCUCACUUCCCAUUCCCCAGUGGCCCUCUUCUCUGGAACAGGUGUGCACACACACACACACCCCUGCUCCUGUCCUGGACUCCUGCUGAGUUCUGACCAACAUGGGGCCGGCUGACACGGUUCGUGCCAAGUACAGCACCCAGUGGUGCAGGCAGGGCACACCGGGGGACGAGCGGCCAGUGGGUGAUGUGUACCUGGGUGGGGAGCUCCGUGACCACCGAGGACCCCGCCUGCCAGCUCCCUCCCUGAGCCUGUGUGGGCGGUAACGGGCACCCCUGGGUGGAGCCCACACGGACUCCCUCAGACUGACCGGCGCAUGGCUGGCUCCUUUCCCUGCUGCCGGGAGCCUCCCCAGGGCCCCGCAGCUUCUCUGCCUUACAUUUUGCACACACCCUUUGGACCUGUGUCAUCCCAGUGCCCUGCGAGGCUAAGGCAGGAGCACUGGGAGCUUGGGCCAAGCCUGGGCAAGAAGUUACUCAGUGAGACCCCGUCUCAAAAACAAACAAAAAGGCUGGGGCUGUAGCGCGGUGCAGAGGCGCUAGAUUUGACUCCCAGUAGAGGAAAUGGGGGGUGGGGCUGGUAAAGCACAGCUCAGGCCUCCCAUCCUGAACCCUUCUCCUGCCUGCCUUGGGGCUGGGGCCGCAGAAGAGCCCAGGACGCCCCCGCCUCCUCACUGUGGCCCCAGAUGGGCUCUGGUCCUGCUGGAGGGCACCUCGAGGCUGGCACCUCGUGCGGAUGGCACCCUCCCUCCUAUGUCAGUCUCCGACGAUGCCACGGCCAGAUGAGCCAGAGAGCUCUGCAGCUCCCCUGGAAGGCGGACCCCAGAUGGGGACGCCCGCUCUUCUGUGCAAGGCCCGGGGUGUCCAGAUCCCUGCCCUCGGGCCUGCACCCGGCCUGGCCCAGCCAUGGCCCCUGCCUCUGCAGAGUGACUUGGGGGCCGCUGAUCUGGGCCAGUGGUGGGCGUGGGCACCAGGCAGCAGAGGAGGCAAGGCAGGUGACAAGCUGGUGUGCAAGGGACGGGAGGGAUGGACGGAGUGAGGCGAGCCCUGGUGAGAGGAACUUACGGCCUCUCUGGCAGAUACAUGGGGAGGACAGUGCCUGCCCCGUGCGUGGACGCAAGGCUUCCUGCUCCUAAAACUCGGGCCACCACCACUUCCUGAGCAAACCCAGCAGAGUCCCUGCACCUUGCCCCAGGGGUCUCAGGGUAACGGCUCUGCUAGGGAAUAAGAGGGGUGCUGGACCCACUGUUUGCCGAGGGGCCUGGCAGAGCACAGCCCCCCGCAGGGACGCAUGGGGGAGGCUGGGAAGAGGCCUCCUCAUCCUGCUCAGGCUCCCAGAUCUUCCCACACAGGGCAGAUGUCUCCGGAGACAGACAGAGAAGCCAACCAGAACGUUCAAGUGCUGUGAGCCGGCCUUGGUGGGCCGGAGUGUUAAUCACCGCACCGUCAUCCUCUCCAGGAGGCUGGGCGAAGGAAGUGAGUCAGUAGGAACGAGCCCCACGGCAGUGCUUCGGGCGUAGGAGUGAGCAGUUGCGUCCCUGUCUCCGUCCUCACUGCCUUGCUCCCACCCGCACAUCGCGGGCCUCCAGGGCUCACCUGCUGUCAGCGAGUCUGUGGUUGGCCCCACACCAGGUGCUGGCUGGAAGCCAGGCGGCAUGUGGGGGACCUGAAAUCCAAAUGCCCCCUGGCUCUCAGACCCAGUCGGGAUGGGGAGAGAGGCAGAAAGGCCCCCGGGGCGGGUCACACGCCAGCUGCCUGUGGGUCACACUCUUCCCCCAGAGGUCCAGGCAGCUUCAUGCCGGGGAACAGCAGAAUUCCGCCCUCAGACCUGGGGCAGCAAGCGGGUGGUGUUGUCUCUGCGGCCCAGGUUUCUGCACCCACCGAGCUCGGGUGCCUUGCUCAGGCCAGCUCAGGGACCACUGGGGAAAACCUCUCAGGGGCCAGCGCAGGCCCCGAAGGCAGAUGUCCAGGUCAGACUGCUCCCUGACGGCUCCUUCCGUGCUGCGGGGCUGCGGUGGAGCCCCAGGCCUCCUGUGGGCCAGGCUCUCUCCUUACCCUGUCACAUGCCUUGGUUUGGGGUUCACUGUUGCUGGAGGGCUAUGUGGACCCCGGUGAGGACAGCAGCCCCUGGCAGUCCUCGGGCACCCAAGCCACUGUGCCUUGGAUUCAGCAUAGCAGGUUGGGAACCAUUGCGCGACCCUGGGUGCUAGUGGGUGUGCCUGAGUCCCAGGCAUGUGGAGGUCGGCACUCCUGCCUUGCAUGCUUGGGGCAGGGACAGGGGUCCCCCGGGACUCCCUGUGGAUGACACUCACCCCUUUCACCUCCUACCUAGGACGCGGUUCACCAAUCCCCCAAAGGGACCUGCAGACCACUAUGCCGGCACAGAGUUCCGGUGCCACCCGGGCUGGCCCUGUCCUCUCAGGUGUGCUGCAGCAGGUGGGCGGGAUCGGGGCCCAGGCCUGUCUGGCCGGGCCGGUCCACGGCCUCUGCUCAGCAGCGGUGUCUUCAGGAGGACCCUGCUGCACUCACAGCGGCCGCGCGUGUCAUCUCUCUGGUUCUCCGUGUCUGUCCAUGACACGUCCUGUGCCGCCCGGGGCACCCGUGGACGUCUGCUGUCCGUGUCAUGGCUGAGGACGGGGCUGAAACUUCCUGCCCCGGGGUAGCUCCCACCUCGCAGGGCCAGCCUCCUCGUGGCUGCGUCCUUGUGGCCAGCCCAGCUCCGUGACCCUGUCAUGGCUGAGGCAAGAGGACCACAGCAAGCACGGGGCCAGCCGGGGCUACCUAGCAAGACUCCGACUCAAGAACAACGGCAAAAAACAGGUCUAUCAAAACCACCUAGAAGAAGUGUGAAGGACAAGGCCGCGGACUGGAGAGGCGUGUUUGCAAUGCCCAGAGUAGACAGUAUAAUUACAUAGAAAAUGAAGAUUUCCCACAAAUUGGCAAGAAAAAGAGCAGCGGUGGCCCCUGGAGAAAGGGACGCGGGUCCACAGAUCCAAACCAGGCAAGCCAGGCACCGGAGCACACACCUGUGAUCCCAGCUCUCAGGAGGCUGAGGCAGGAGGAUCACCAUGAGUUUGAGGCCAGCCUGAGGCUACAUAAUUGAAGGCCACUGAGGUACAUAGAAAGACCCUGCCUCAAAAACCCAAACAACAGCAAGACAAAAAACGCAGGCAAAGCUAGACACAUGUACAUACUUUAGAAUGUUGGACAAGAAAAGAAAGCUAAGGCUCAUGGAGGAAGGCAGCAGAGAGGCCAGUGUGCUAGGUGGGAGCAGAGGAGCUCUUUGCAGUUGGCCUGGGGUUGGUGGGGCAGGUGUCCCGGCAGGCUGUGCAGGUGGCCCUGGAUUCCAGGCCCCUUCCCCAGUCCCAGCCAGGUCCGGCCAGGCGGGAGAACAGUGGCACAAGGAUGGGAUGACUUGAACUCAGAGACCAGAAAACCCACAGAAAUAAGGCAGCACCUUCUGGCCUUCCCAGACUAAGCUGGACCUUUAGAGUUGGUCGUUUGGCAGGAGCUGAUGAGGAAAAGGGAUCUCAGGCCAGGGGCUGGGUGCAGCAGGUACCCAGAGGCACAGUUGGGGUGCAGGAGGCUGGGAGUGGGUGCCCGUGAGCCCUGAGCUCCUGGAGCCCUGCUGGGCCGGGCCCACCUCUGCUUUGUGGCUGGCAGCUGGGGGCUUCCAAGGGAAGGGGCCACAUCCUUCAAGUCACAGGACACCGCCAGGGAAAGUUUCCUUCCCUGGGAGGGCUGCCAGCCCGGGCUGACACCACCAGCCCACUCAGGCCAGAUAUAAGUCCGGGCCUCAUCCUCCCUGUGUCCCCACACCUGCCCUCACCCUGAGGCCAAAGCAGAUACAGGCUCUGUGUGCACCUGUAGGUGGCCAGGGUCACCCCUCAGAGACCAGCACGGUCCAGGGAGGAGGAGGAGCCGGCGCGCCAGGGCUGGGAGCUGAACUCCGGGCAGUCAGGCAGCCAGUGGCACUGAGGCAGUGGGGGAAGGAUCAGAGGGACCAGGAGUUGCCACUUCUGUCCCCCAAGGUGACCUUGAGCACAAGGCCUGUGUGGGAAGGGUCUGCUUUCAACCCUAACAGCCCGUGACAUCGCCUGCCCUUGGGGUGCUGCCCCCAGCUGGGUGCACUGGUCCCUGGGACUGGCCUGGCUCGGCCUCCUGCACUUGACCUUGAGGAGGUGGGACAAGCAGCUGGGUCCCCAGGGAGCCACUGCCCGGAGCAGAUUCUGCACUCAGGCCUUGACCAGGCUUCCUGGAACUGGCCUGGGGAGGGGCUCCAGCCAGGGCAGCAGCCGUGUCUGUCCCCAGGAGAUGCCUGGCUUCCAGUACUACAGGCCAUCGUGGUUUCUGAGCAUGGGUUUUGAAAGGCAGGAUCGAAUCCAGGCCCCGACUGGCUGCCACUGGCCAGCGCUCAACUUGGGGCAAAUGGGACCCCGGGCUAUGAGAAGGCGAGGAGCACACAGCCCAGAGGACACCAGCGAGGAGUCUCGUGCCCCAGAGGCUGCCCUGUCUGCUCCGGGUGACCUCGGUGCUUUGUGCUCGGGCUGCUGCUGGUGCCCCGUCCCCCGAGGCUCACUGUUCUGUGUCACCAGGCUGGCCAGGGGUCCCUGGCAGCUGCAGGCUCUCAUGAGUGACAGAGAGAGCUGGGGACUCUGGGGGUCUCGGACAGCAGUCCUACAGACUCCACCUCUCCCCCAGCAGCCGUGCUUCUGUCCGGAGCAGCCCGCCCAGCCGCUUCCCUUUUCUCAUUCUGUCAUUGUGCUGGGCCCUGGGGUGGGCACCCGGCGCUGGGGUGGGACAGGCCGGCUGGGAUAAGGAACGGAUGAGUCACACAGCAACACUUCGGCCCAGAGAGAGCCAUAGAGGGGACAGGGGAGCACCAGCCCGGGGACAGGCCCAGCGUGGUGCCUGCGAGGGCCUGAGGCAGGCACCAGGACAGGUGCUGAAGGCGUAGGCAGAGUGGCAGGGUUAGCACGCUGGGCUGGGCUGUGGGGUCGGAGCUUGCUGCUGCAGGCAGAGCCUAGACUGCCUGGUCCCUCCCAUGGGCAGACUGCUUGGGUGAUGGGAACCGGUGGCCAAUGAAGGUGGCCUUGUCACCCACACUCUGGCUGGGAAGCUUCCAGGAACAGAGACACAACUGGUUCACGAUGCAGCCCAGUGGAGUAGGAAGGUGGGUGGGGCUGCCCGGGUGAAGACACCAGGAGCUGUGCUCUGGGGCACAGGGCAGGGUGGGCAGUGCCCUCUGACCCCUGUGCCUCUUGCUAGCUUUAGGGUACUGUUGCUCCCCGCCCCAGCCUGGAUCUGAGCUGUUUCCAAAGCCAGGAAUGUUCAUCCUUGCAGGAGGCCCAGGGGAGGUUGUGAGGAGGGGGCCCCCAAGACCCAAGGCAUAGUGGGGAGGCCAGGGUGAGCGGUACCUGGUGUGGCAGCUCUCUGAGGCAGGAGGGGAGGCCCACAGAGGGUGUGCAACACACAGGCGGUGCAUGUGCUGCAGGACGGGCUGGUGGUACCAGAGUGUCAGAGUACACAGCACGUGUUUACAUUUUUAAAUUGUUACCGUAAAAGUCACACAGCCAUUCACCCCCAGAAUACUCCCCAGAGCUCCAAACACACUCAUACCCCCAUUCUUGCCACUUUCUGAAACAGCUCUGGAAGUCUUUUGCACCUUCACAAGGUGUAAUCAACAAUACAGUGACUGCUGCUGCCCAGGGUCCCCCAAAAGAAAGGCAGCUCAUGAGAACACAACGCUGUGUGUUCAUCCACCUUGGUCACCGGACCUGGCACCGUGUGACCCCAGGCUCCUCCCCAAAGUCAAAAUGACCAUGACGGAAACAUUUUGUAUCCAUUCAGGACCUUGAGGCAGCCAGGACGGCGCAGCUAAAGACACCCAGGAAAGAGGGCUCCAGAGCCGCUGCAGGAGGGGCUGGGACGUGGGAGGAGGGUGUUUGAAGCAAAGGGGAGGAUUUUCAGGGGUUUCCAUGGUGAUGUGUGCCCUUUACUAUAAUACAGAUUAAAUGUUCAGGGUGUAGUUUCCAGUCACACCUCGUUUAUGGGAACUUGUGCCUGUGCCUACCCUGCUGAAGUAAACCGCACCCACCCAGGACCCUCUCCCUGCCUGGCACGGCUAUGGCACACAGGCAGGGUGAGCUGCUCAAGGCCAAGGAGCUUGGGGCAGAGCAGCCCCUCCUCCCGGCGGGUGGCAAAGCCUGCACACGCAUCCCACAGAGCAUCUGUCAGGGCCUGAAGGGCUUGGACCUGCCCAACAGCCCCAGCAGCCUGGGCACCGCCGGGAAAGUUUUCAUCUUAUGCGGUCUCGUACAGAGCAACAAAGAGAGCACACAGCUGGAGAAAGAUCCCCUUCCUCUGUCCACUGCAGAGGACGUAGACUGGCGGCCAGGUGAGGAUAGCGCUGAGUGUCCCCAUACUGCCGUCCCACAGGGCCCGUUUGUGACCUUCAGCAACACCGCAUUCUCCGGAGCUUACACCUUCUUCUGACAUCCUUGGUUUCCCACACUGUCCUUUCCUGGUCCCAGACCCCGCCCAGGAUACACAUGACCUUUCACCUCCUCAGGCUCCGCCUAGCUGUGAGUUUCUCAGCGUCUCCUUGCUUUGACCUUGAUGGCUUCAAGGAGGGCUUGUCAGGUGUUUUGCAGAAUGUCCCAGAGAGGCCAUCUGCUGCAGUCUGGGGUUUCUCAUGGUGGGACUGAGCUGGGGUUCUGGGAGGAGUCCAGAGGUGACCUCCCACCCGCUCCCGUCCCGGGCACUCGUGCUGUCUGCCCGGAUGGCCGCCGCAGUGCUGCCCAGGGCCCCCGGCUGUCGCACUGCUGUGCGCAGUUCUGCUGUAACAGGAGCUCGGGCUCCUUCCCCAGGUGUGUUUACCAGGCCCUGACUUAGGUCACUGUGGAUCUGUGGCUUUAGGCUCCGGCCCAGUGCCACCCUCUCGUCACUGGACCCCUUCCAGCCCUGGCCGCUGGCCGCACCUGCCGUUCACUCCCAGGUCACUCUGCCCUGCCCUCCCACGUGGGAGGCUCUGUCUGGGUGCUGACCACUUCCGGUCCAGCACCAGCUGGGGCACUUUCUGCCCAGUCCUAGCACGGCCAUUUCCCCCAGAUCCUUGUUUCAGAGAGGGUGGCAGACAGCACGACCCAGAGCGGGGGUGCUUCCCAGUUCUCACGGCUGACGGAGCAGAGAGACACGCGUGUGUGGUGACCUGAGUGUGUGUACCUACGUGUGGAUAUUUUACACGCAGCUCUGUGUAUCUUUGUGAGUUCACACUGCUGUCUCUGAUGCAAACCUUUUACCGCUGGGAUCAUCCUGGAUCCAAUGCCUGCUCGUCUGCAAGCUCAGAGCUCCCUUCGCACAGGGUAUCAGAAAGUUCCUGAGGCUUCACCGCACACAAUCUUAAGGGCACUUUCCAAUUUGAAGCCACAGGGUCUGCAGGAUCUAAGCUCUGCUAGCUGCAACCCUCUAACUGCAGCCCUCAGGGUCUCUACCUCCCUCGCCCACACCCCCACCCCUGCAAGCACGUGGCCUCUGUGCUGGGCCUCUGUGCUGGGCUCCCUCCUGCCUAGGCCUCAGCAGGAGCCGCUCUUUUCCUGCUCACUCACCGCACUUCCUUCGGGCCACGCACUGAAGUCACUUCCUUUAGGCCACACGCUGAGGUGACUUCCUUGCACAAGCUCCUGGCCUUGUGGUCUCCAGUAGUGCAUAGAUCUGUGCUUUCCUCCAGUUAUGCCUGCUUUUCUGUUCCACAGUCCUCACCUGUGUUUAUCACCAUGUUUUCAGAAAAAAGUCAACGAAGUGUUCCCCUUCGGGAGGUGCGAGGGAACCAGCUUACUCUGAGAACUGAUACUUAGGGAGCAGCCUCAAGAAUUUUCCCUGCUCAUUCUGAUGAACAGAGUUGAUAAGAAAAAGUUCUUUUUUUUUUUUUUUUAGUACUGAGAGUUGAACCCAGGGCCUUUGCACUGAACUA
Long non-coding RNA from Fukomys damarensis (Damara mole-rat), 11165 nucleotides. RefSeq lists it as uncharacterized. The record is from RefSeq and is a predicted model, not a curated record. NCBI's taxonomy places the organism in Eukaryota, Metazoa, Chordata, Mammalia, Rodentia, Bathyergidae. The transcript has 3 exons.